Molecule: ribosomal RNA, 497 nt
Filed under: uncultured bacterium
Lineage: Bacteria
Description: partial 16S ribosomal RNA
Rfam family: Bacterial small subunit ribosomal RNA
Source: RNAcentral
GAUGAACGCUGGCGGCGUGCCUAAUACAUGCAAGUCGAGCGAACAGACGAGGAGCUUGCUCCUCUGACGUUAGCGGCGGACGGGUGAGUAACACGUGGAUAACCUACCUAUAAGACUGGGAUAACUUCGGGAAACCGGAGCUAAUACCGGAUAAUAUAUUGAACCGCAUGGUUCAAUAGUGAAAGACGGUUUUGCUGUCACUUAUAGAUGGAUCCGCGCCGCAUUAGCUAGUUGGUAAGGUAACGGCUUACCAAGGCAACGAUGCGUAGCCGACCUGAGAGAGUGAUCGGCCACACUAGGACUGGAACACGGUCCAGACUCCUACGGGAGGCAGCAGUAGGGAAUCUUCCGCAAUGGGCGAAAGCCUGACGGAGCAACGCCGCGUGAGUGAUGAAGGUCUUCGGAUCGUAAAACUCUGUUAUUAGGGAAGAACAAAUGUGUAAGUAACUAUGCACGUCUUGACGGUACCUAAUCAGAAAGCCACGGCUAACUACGUG